AAUAGAUACCCAGGUAGUCCACGCCGUAAACGAUGAGUGCUAAGUGUUGGAGGGUUUCCGCCCUUCAGUGCUGCAGCUAACGCAUUAAGCACUCCGCCUGGGGAGUACGGUCGCAAGACUGAAACUCAAAGGAAUUGACGGGGGCCCGCACAAGCGGUGGAGCAUGUGGUUUAAUUCGAAGGCAACGCGAAGAACCUUACCAGGUCUUGACAUCUCCUGACCGCCCUGGAGACAGGGUCUUCCCUUCGGGGACAGGAUGACAGGUGGUGCAUGGUUGUCGUCAGCUCGUGUCGUGAGAUGUUGGGUUAAGUCCCGCAACGAGCGCAACCCUUGGUUCUAGUUGCCAGCAUUCAGUUGGGCACUCUAGAGCGACUGCCGGCGACAAGUCGGAGGAAGGUGGGGAUGACGUCAAAUCAUCAUGCCCCUUAUGACCUGGGCUACACACGUGCUACAAUGGAUGGUACAAAGGGCAGCGAAGCGGCGACGCAUGAGCGAAUCCCAGAAAACCAUUCUCAGUUCGGU
Molecule: ribosomal RNA, 522 nt
Filed under: uncultured bacterium
Lineage: Bacteria
Description: bacterial SSU rRNA
Rfam family: Bacterial small subunit ribosomal RNA
Source: RNAcentral